RNAcentral lists this ribosomal RNA (700 nucleotides) under Pseudomonadota bacterium. RNAcentral's name for it is "bacterial SSU rRNA". It matches the Rfam family "Bacterial small subunit ribosomal RNA", at positions 28 to 723 of the family's 1533-position model. Lineage: Bacteria; Pseudomonadati; Pseudomonadota. The record is from RNAcentral.
AUUGAACGCUGGCGGAAUGCUUUACACAUGCAAGUCGAACGGCAGCACGGGGGCAACCCUGGUGGCGAGUGGCGAACGGGUGAGUAAUACAUCGGAACGUGCCCAGUCGUGGGGGAUAACGUAGCGAAAGUUACGCUAAUACCGCAUACGAUCUACGGAUGAAAGCGGGGGAUCGCAAGACCUCGCGCGAUUGGAGCGGCCGAUGUCAGAUUAGGUAGUUGGUGGGGUAAAGGCUCACCAAGCCAACGAUCUGUAGCUGGUCUGAGAGGACGACCAGCCACACUGGGACUGAGACACGGCCCAGACUCCUACGGGAGGCAGCAGUGGGGAAUUUUGGACAAUGGACGAAAGUCUGAUCCAGCCAUUCCGCGUGCAGGACGAAGGCCUUCGGGUUGUAAACUGCUUUUGUACGGAACGAAAAAGCCUUGGCUAAUACCCAGGGUCCAUGACGGUACCGUAAGAAUAAGCACCGGCUAACUACGUGCCAGCAGCCGCGGUAAUACGUAGGGUGCGAGCGUUAAUCGGAAUUACUGGGCGUAAAGCGUGCGCAGGCGGUUUUGUAAGACAGAGGUGAAAUCCCCGGGCUCAACCUGGGAACUGCCUUUGUGACUGCAAGGCUAGAGUGCGGCAGAGGGGGAUGGAAUUCCGCGUGUAGCAGUGAAAUGCGUAGAUAUGCGGAGGAACACCGAUGGCGAAGGCA